GUGCAGCAGUCGAGAAUACUUUACAAUGUGCGAAAGCACGAUAAGGGAGCUCUGAGUGCCUCCUAAGGAGGCUGUUCAGGUGUCUAAAAAGCACCUGAAGGAAGGGCUGGGUGAGACCGGUGCCAGCCGCCGCGGUAACACCGGCAGCCCAAGUGGUAGCCACGUUUAUUGGGCCUAAAGCGUCCGUAGCCGGCUGGGUAAGUUCCUUGGGAAAUUUGGCUGCUUAACAGUCAAGCUUUCAGGGAAUUCUGCCCGGCUUGGGACCGGGAGAGGUCAGAGGUACUCCAGGGGUAGGGGUGAAAUCCAUUAAUCCUUGGGGGACCACCGGUAGCGAAGGCGUCUGACCAGACCGGGUCCGACGGUGAGGGACGAAGGCUA
Molecule: ribosomal RNA, 378 nt
Filed under: uncultured microorganism
Description: bacterial SSU rRNA
Rfam family: Archaeal small subunit ribosomal RNA
Source: RNAcentral